RNAcentral lists this ribosomal RNA (664 nucleotides) under uncultured bacterium. RNAcentral describes it as "bacterial SSU rRNA". It matches the Rfam family "Bacterial small subunit ribosomal RNA", at positions 9 to 671 of the family's 1533-position model. The record is from RNAcentral.
GAGUUUGAUCCUGGCUCAGGAUGAACGCUGGCGGCGUGCUUAACACAUGCAAGUCGAACGAAGCACAGAAAGCAGAUUACUUCGGUUUGAAGCUUUCUGUGACUGAGUGGCGGACGGGUGAGUAACGCGUGGAUAACCUGCCUCACACAGGGGGAUAACAGUUAGAAAUGACUGCUAAUACCGCAUAAGCGCACAGUCUCGCAUGGGACAGUGUGAAAAGCUGAGGUGGUGUGAGAUGGAUCCGCGUCUGAUUAGGCAGUUGGCGGGGUAACGGCCCACCAAACCAACGAUCAGUAGCCGGCCUGAGAGGGUGAACGGCCACAUUGGGACUGAGACACGGCCCAAACUCCUACGGGAGGCAGCAGUGGGGAAUAUUGCACAAUGGGGGAAACCCUGAUGCAGCGACGCCGCGUGAAGGAAGAAGUAUUUCGGUAUGUAAACUUCUAUCAGCAGGGAAGAAAGUGACGGUACCUGACUAAGAAGCCCCGGCUAACUACGUGCCAGCAGCCGCGGUAAUACGUAGGGGGCAAGCGUUACCCGGAUUUACUGGGUGUAAAGGGAGCGUAGGCGGCGAUGCAAGUCAGAAGUGAAAGCCCGGGGCUCAACUCCGGGACUGCUUUUGAAACUGUAUGGCUAGAUUGCAGGAGAGGCAAGUGGAAUUCCU